ACCUAUAAGAGCAUUGAUUCAUCGGUGAUAAGAGUUCGCAAUAGAGCGUAUUUUUGGUCAGUUCCGUACGAUCUGAUACUAACAUACAUUUUCACCUCUUGCUAUGCAUAUGCACAUUUUUCCCGUCAAAAACAUCGUAGGAAGAACUGUGCAUAUAGUUCGAUCAUUUGAUCACUAGAGGACUGCUUCUCCAAAGCGAGUAUGUUCAUUUACCGUAAAUAUGUCUCACUCUCGCUCCCAAUGCAAACUGAGCUGAACGUACUGAAAAAAGCAAUUCCUGGGAUACACCUUUCUAGAUAAUAUUCACCACGUGAACCCAACCAACGUACAUUAAGCGGGUAGUAGUGUAUAUGAACAUUUAUAUGUAUAUUACUUUAUGACAUUAAUUUUAUAAGAAAAUCUCAUACGUUUCAUUCAUCUGUAAUCAAAGUAAAUACUCAAAUUUUGGUAUUCUGCUUUUCUUAAGGUUAAAAAAAUGCAUAAACAUGUUUACUAUAUUCGAGUCUAUGAUCCAAAUAAAAUUGAAUAUAUAUACUUUCAA
Bombus impatiens (common eastern bumble bee) is the source of this 541-nucleotide long non-coding RNA. RefSeq lists it as uncharacterized. The transcript is spliced from 2 exons. The record is from RefSeq and is a predicted model, not a curated record. Lineage: Eukaryota; Metazoa; Arthropoda; Insecta; Hymenoptera; Apidae.